This 430-nucleotide long non-coding RNA is filed under the name Mytilus galloprovincialis (Mediterranean mussel). Lineage: Eukaryota; Metazoa; Mollusca; Bivalvia; Mytilida; Mytilidae. The record is from RNAcentral.
UAGAGUGAUGCGUUUUCCCUAGCCUAAUGCGAUUUACAGAUUCACAUAUAUGACACUUGACAUAAACUAUUCCUGUAACUCCAUAUGGUCUAACACCCAAAGAAUUGGGCAAGUGUAAAUUAAUGGAACAUGUGGUGCAGUGUUUAAACUGUUGUGAAAUCAGAUCUAGUUCACAAACAUAUCUACAAUGAUCUAGUGGUAGCAAAUCAACUGGAAGAACUUCAUCAAACAAGUAGUCAGAGUCACUUUUGCCAAAUGUACAGUAUGUAUGAUCAGACUCAAAGGGAAAGUUUGGUAAUGUAAUUUCCUUCUUCUUGUUCCAGUUUUUUGUAAACACCAAUUCUUGAACACGUUUUGAUUUGGUUACAUUUGGGCUUUUGGAAAAUUUACCCCGUUUAUUUCGUCGAGUUCUCAUGAUUGUUUGUAGCAG